RNAcentral lists this long non-coding RNA (3565 nucleotides) under Pongo abelii (Sumatran orangutan). RNAcentral's name for it is "lincRNA". The record is from RNAcentral. Lineage: Eukaryota; Metazoa; Chordata; Mammalia; Primates; Hominidae.
CCCCGGAAAUAUAGCGACAGCUUCAGCUUUCAGUGUGAGGGAGCCGAGGGCCCAGCCAAACCCUGCGGGGGGGCAAUUCCUGGGUACCCUUCCCAUAUUUUCGGUCUUUGGGCUGCGCUGUGGUAACCCCAGAGCCUGGUUGCGUGCUCACCAGCGACAAGUGUCUUUGCAUUGGGACAUGAAAGGGGACUGGGAAGUGCCGUGCAGUUUCAGGGUAGUUUCUGGUUAAUUACAUUUUCAUGGGUUUUCGCAGAGUCUGGGGGCAAUUUGUGUCCUCCAGAGACCAGGGACCAGGGCCGAAGCUACGGCAGGGGAGACGCGGCCAGGGCUGUGGCUUCUCGUGCGAGCUCGGUUUGCGUCCGUUCCCGUCUGGCGCCCGGGCCUCUGGGAGCCCAGGGCCUUGAAUGAGACAGUGCUCGCCCUUGAAAAAGCAGUUCUAGGUCACUCGGCCUGCUUUGCCAGCAUUCCAGGCCCCAGCUCACCUUCCGCCAUCCAUGUUGACAACACCAGUUCUACGACGAAGCGGGCGAUUCCUCUUGCCUGGAAUUUCACUCGUCCCCGGUAUCGAACCCCCGCCCCAAUUUUCUACGUUACAACUCCAGCGUAUUUUUAACGGCGCAGCCAAUAUCACCUCGUUGGUAUAAAGCCUGCGCUGUCCUGGACCUUCUUAGGAAUGCAGGCUUAGGAACAGGAGCUAUGCCGUUUUAUUAUUUUUCUUUCUUUUAGAGAUGGGGUCUCGCUGUGUCGCCCAGGCUAGAGUGCAGUGGCGGGAUCAUAGCUUACUGCAGGCUGGGGUCAAGCAGUCCUCCCGCCUCAGCCUCCUGAGUGUAUGGGAUUAUAGGCUCAGGCCUCUAUGCCAUUGUAAAUCCUGUGGAUUUUGAGUAUUUGACCUCUAUGAGCCUCAGUUUUCAUCAACAUUGAGAUGAUACUAGUACCUCAUAAGGUUAUGUGACGAUUAAAUGGAAAGCUCUUACAAUAUAAGUGCUUAAUAAGUAUGUUAUCAUAUGUGCUUCCAAAGUACUUUGUGUAGGCCUUUUAUAACGCUUGCGCUUUCUAUUACCAUUAUUUGUUCUUGUCUGCCCUGCUAGACUGAGAUUCUCAAAAGCUGGAACUGUCUUGUUUGUAAUCUCAGCGUCUGUCAGUGCUGGGCAAAUGUAAAGCUAAGAAAUUAUUUCUUAGAAAACUUUUUAAAAGCAGUCUUUCUUCUCCUUUCCCUUUCUUCCUUUCCUUCACUUUUUCCUCUUUGAGAUAGGAAUUUUCAAACCUAGAGAAGAAGCUGAGACCCUAGGGGGAAAGAUUGGGACCGUUUUGUUGUUGUUGUUCUCAGUGGUGACCAAAAGAGCCUUAACAUUCACCCCAGUCUGACAACUUUAGACAGGUUUCUUCUGGACGUUAGGCCCCUGACCUCCCCUUUCUUUGAGUGUUUACUUUAGAAAACUUGUGAUCGCAAAAUUCUUCUCUGCUCCUUUGAAAUGUGUAUAAAUCUCCUUAGAAGCUUACGCUAGUUUUACGACCUAAGGAAUGUCUUUCUCAAGGACCUGUGAGCCAUCGUUUGAAAUGUAAUCAUCAAGGAAGAUAGCACCCCUAUCUCUCAGUCUCUGUGGGAGGGUGGGAGCCUAACCUCCUGUGUGUGCCUUGUUUGGAAUUGUAAAACUCCAGCUUGUUUUGAAGAUACAAGAAAGUUUCCUUUUCCUUUGCAAUUAGCAAACACAGAUGUCAUGUGAUUUCCCGUACAGCAGCUCUUAAAAACUUCCCAGACCCUUGUUUCAGUAGUGUUGAGUUUAAUCUCGUAUUGCAGUAGUCUUAAGGUCUUUCUUGCCUGUUUAACUUUGAUGCAAAUUUUGACAAUGGAAAUUUUAGGUUCUGCAUUUAUUGUUUCUUCCCAAUUACAGUGGUUUCUCCUUUCUCCUUGUUAAGAAGAGCUUCUCACAUCCUCUGAUUUCUGGAGAAAUCAAUUUGGACUCAAAAGAUUGGAGUUUUGUGGAGUGAAGCUACUGUUUUUGUUUUGUUUUGUUUUGUUUUGCUUGAGAUAGAGUCUCACUCUGUCACCCAGGCUGGAGUGCAGUGGUGCAAUCAUGGCUCACUGCAGCCUCCGCCUCCUGGGUUCAAGUGAUCCUCCUGCCUCAGCCUCUCAACUAGCUAGAAUUACAAGCAUGUGCCACCACUUGAACUCCUGGCCUCAAGUAAUCUGCCCACCUUGGCCUCCCACAGUGCUGGAAUCACAGGCGUGAGCCACCACGCCCUGCCAGAAGCUACUGUUUUAAGUCAUCAUUGCAAAGGGUAGUGUGUGAUGUGCAGGAGUGGAAAGGGCAGUACAUCUAUUUGAGAGCAUCCCAAAUGAGGUCCAUUCAUAUUAUGGAAGUGCACUGGGAAAUAAAGAACAGGCCUACCCCCUUGUUUAUUUAUUAUGAAGGGGUAUGAGAAAAAUGCAAUUUUCAAAGAAAGGGAACUGCUGAGAAUGUAGUACCUUCUCAAAGAAAGCUAUGUUUGGUUAAGGUGAGAAGCUAGAGGAAGCCACAGAGGGCAGGGUUACAAAUUGAAAGACUUCUGCAGUGGUGGAGGUAGUAUGCCAAAGGGUUCCUUAAAAUACAGGGAUCCGUGUAAGAUGAGGAGGUAAGGUGGAGUAGGAUUGAGGUGGAAUGAAAUGAAAGAUGGAAGAGAAAAAGGAAGGCAGUAGGGGGAGAGGGGAGUUAAUUUGGGGUAUGGGUAACAGGGAAGGAAAUAGGUAACCUGAGAAGCUUGGUAGAGGCACGUGCCACUUGCAUGGGAAGGGAAAUAUCAUGCAGACGGUCCUGUUGCUAAAGGAAGCUAGAGGAUUUAGAAGAAGGGGUUUGGCACACUGGCCUCUAUCACCCAUCCGUCCCCAACAACACACAACACAGACAAAUUGAGUGCACUGUUGACAUUUAGCAUCAUUCUGCCCCCAUGACUGGUGGAAGCUAAGAAGAUGAAGUUCAGGGUGCUGAUCUUUUUUUUUUUUUUCUAACUGACUUUUCUUAUGUGAAUACUUACCCCUAGUUCCCUUUUUCUUCCCUUCCCUUCCCUUCCCUUCCCUCCCUCCCUCCCUUCCUUCUUCUUCUUCUUCAUUUUUUUUUUUUUUAAAUGAGACAGAGUCUUGCUGUAUUGCUCAGGCUGGAGUGCAGCAGUGCUAUCAUUGCUCAUGCAGCCUUAACCUCCCAGGCUCAAGCAGUCCUCCUACCUCAGCCUCCUCAGUAGCUGGGGCUACAGGCAUGUGCCAUCACACCCAGUUAAUUUUUAAAUUUUUGUAGAGAUGGCUCUCCCUGUGUUGCCAGGCAGGUCUCAAACUCCAUCCUCAGCCUCCCAAAGUGCUGAGAUUACAGUCAUGAGCCACUGCACCCAGCCCUUUUUUUCUUGCUUCUUUACCUACUUUUCAUAGGAAUUGGGUAGACGAGGGUAGACCCAGGAAGUGAGAGUGGAAUUUGAGAAAGAAAAACAGUAAAAUGAAAAGCUGAAAAAUAAAAGAGUUUAUUUCUAAAUGUAUGUACGAAACUCAGGUUGGGGGACUAGCAUGUAAAGGUAUAUACAAAUAAAAUGGAGUUAAGUG